UACGGGGGGGGCAAGCGUUGUUCGGAAUUACUGGGCGUAAAGGGCUCGUAGGCGGCCCACUAAGUCAGACGUGAAAUCCCUCGGCUUAACCGGGGAACUGCAUCUGAUACUGGAUGGCUUGAGUUCGGGAGAGGGAUGCGGAAUUCCAGGUGUAGCGGUGAAAUGCGUAGAUAUCUGGAGGAACACCGGUGGCGAAGGCGGCAUCCUGGACCGACACUGACGCUGAGGAGCGAAAGCCAGGGGAGCAAACGGG
RNAcentral lists this ribosomal RNA (253 nucleotides) under uncultured bacterium. RNAcentral describes it as "partial 16S ribosomal RNA". It matches the Rfam family "Bacterial small subunit ribosomal RNA", at positions 524 to 776 of the family's 1533-position model. The record is from RNAcentral.